This 290-nucleotide long non-coding RNA is filed under the name Homo sapiens (human). RNAcentral's name for it is "HSALNT0305881". The record is from RNAcentral. Lineage: Eukaryota; Metazoa; Chordata; Mammalia; Primates; Hominidae.
GGUGAGGCCACUGAAGGUCUGAGGGAGAACUGACUUGUCAGGAACUCCUGUUAAGGAGAAUUAACAAAGUGUGGUUAUUAAAGGAGAACUGAGUUGGGAGUCAGACCUGGAGGACUGCACCCUUGGUUAAGACAUUAUACCACCUUGAGUCUGGCCUGUUGACUGAAGAGAAAUGCAUAAUGUCCACUGAAUUUAUUAAAGUUCCAAAAUCGGUCGCGCGCAGUGGCUCACGCCUGUAAUCUCAAUACUUCGGCAGGCCGAGGCGUGUGGAUCACGAGGUCAGGAGUUGG